This 29-nucleotide small RNA is filed under the name Bombyx mori (domestic silkworm). RNAcentral describes it as "ovarian small RNA-34036". Lineage: Eukaryota; Metazoa; Arthropoda; Insecta; Lepidoptera; Bombycidae. The record is from RNAcentral.
UGCGUUUCGGCUUGAAGGGUGGGGCAGCU